RNAcentral lists this ribosomal RNA (468 nucleotides) under uncultured bacterium. Its description in RNAcentral is "partial 16S ribosomal RNA". It matches the Rfam family "Bacterial small subunit ribosomal RNA", at positions 28 to 507 of the family's 1533-position model. The record is from RNAcentral.
GACGAACGCUGGCGGCGUGCUUAACACAUGCAAGUCGAACGGAAAGGCCCUGCUUUUGUGCGUUGCUCGAUUGGCGCACGGGUGAGUAACACGUGAGUAUCCUGCCCUUGACUUUGGGAUAACUUCAGGAAACUGCGGCUAUUAUCCGAUAUGAUCUCCUGCUGCAUGUUGGGGGUUGGUAAGUUUCGGCGGUUGGGGAUGGUCUCGAGGCUUAUCAGCUUGUUUGUGGGGUAGUUGCUUACCAAGGCUUUGACGGGUAGCCGGCCUGGGAGGUGGACCGGCGACAUGGGGACUGAGAUACGGACCAGACUCCUACGGGAGGCAGCAGUGGGGAACAUUGCACAAUGGGGGGAAGCCUGAUGCAGCGACGCCGGGUGCGGGAUGACGGCCUUCGGGUUGUAAACAGCUUUCGAAUGUGACGAAGCGUGAGUGACGGUAAUGGGUAAAGAAGCAACGGCUAACUACGUG